AAUGUAAUGACCGUGUAAGGUCUCGGUUGGUGACCAGCGGGAGGGAUCAUUACCGAGUUUACACCUCCCAAACCCCUGUGAACAUACCUAUAGGGCCUCGGCGGAUCAGCCCGCGCCCCGUAAAACGGGAUGGCCCGCCCGAGGACCCCUAAACUCUGUUUUUAGUGGAACUUCUGAGUAAAACAAACAAAUAAAUCAAAACUUUCAACAACGGAUCUCUUGGUUCUGGCAUCGAUGAAGAACGCAGCAAAAUGCGAUAAGUAAUGUGAAUUGCAGAAUUCAGUGAAUCAUCGAAUCUUUGAACGCACAUUGCGCCCGCCAGUAUUCUGGCGGGCAUGCCUGUUCGAGCGUCAUUUCAACCCUCAAGCUCAGCUUGGUGUUGGGACUCGCGGUAACCCGCGUUCCCCAAAUCGAUUGGCGGUCACGUCGAGCUUCCAUAGCGUAGUAAUCAUACACCUCGUUACUGGUAAUCGUCGCGGCCACGCCGUUAAACCCCAACUUCUGAAUGUUGACCUCGGAUCAGGUAGGAAUACCCGCUGAACUUAAGCAUAUCAAUAAGCGGAGGAA
Molecule: ribosomal RNA, 567 nt
Filed under: Fusarium sp. J-1
Lineage: Eukaryota; Fungi; Ascomycota; Sordariomycetes; Hypocreales; Nectriaceae
Description: eukaryotic LSU rRNA
Rfam family: 5.8S ribosomal RNA (bases 200-353)
Source: RNAcentral